UUUUCAUUCAAUUUCUACAAACUAAUUCGAAUUUAUUUAGAUAAUGUUUAGAUGAAUCAGUUUUGUAUUAAAACACAUUGUUCGUAGUAAGGCAAACGGUAGGUAAACGAAAGCAGUUAUUUUGUCACCUUGAUGACAUAACUUUCAUCUAAACAAUUUUAUUAAUUGGAAUUGAAUUCAAUACUAAGAAACAUUUGUAUAAGCAAAGAAACCAGACAAACAAAUAAAAGUAAAAUAAGAUACGCG
RNAcentral lists this long non-coding RNA (246 nucleotides) under Mytilus galloprovincialis (Mediterranean mussel). Lineage: Eukaryota; Metazoa; Mollusca; Bivalvia; Mytilida; Mytilidae. The record is from RNAcentral.